This 373-nucleotide ribosomal RNA is filed under the name uncultured bacterium. RNAcentral describes it as "partial 16S ribosomal RNA". The stretch from base 1 to 121 matches the Rfam family "Bacterial small subunit ribosomal RNA", at positions 233 to 353 of the family's 1533-position model. The record is from RNAcentral.
AUGGCCCAUCAGCUAGUUGGUAGGGUAAAGGCCUACCAAGGCUACGACGGGUCGCUGGUCUGAGAGGACGACCAGCCACACUGGCACUGAGAUACGGGCCAGACUCCUACGGGAGGCAGCAUCGACUUUACCGUACUUGUCUAUGCCGAUUACAAACUCCUUGCCGGCAUCCUUAGCGGAUAUCAUAUCGCUGAGGCCUACUGGAAACGCAGGGUCGGCAAUAGCCUUCCCGUUGACCAGGAGAGCGCCGCUCUUUAUGACUUUUAUCGCUUCUCCGGUCCUUGAUGCAAGGCCUGCCUUCUUUGCGAAGAGCGCCAAUGCUAUGCCCUUCUCUUUAGUGUGCCUGCCUGGGCUAGCCUUGAUCACGUACUUG